CCCUUAGAUGUUCUGGGCCGCACGCGCGCUACACUGAUGCAUUCAACGAGCCUAUCCUUGACCGACAGGUCCGGGUAAUCUUUGAAUCUGCAUCGUGACGGGGAUAGAUUAUUGCAAUUAUUAAUCUUCAACGAGGAAUGCCUAGUAGGCGCAAGUCAUCAGCUUGCGUCGAUUACGUCCCUACCCUUUGUACACACCGCCCGUCGCUACUACCGAUUGAAUGGUUUAGUGAGACCCUCGGAUUCGUCCCAGCAGGGUGGUUUACCACUUGGCUGGUGUGCGGAGAAGACGGUCGAACUUGAUCAUUUAGAGGAAGUAAAAGUCGUAACA
RNAcentral lists this ribosomal RNA (330 nucleotides) under uncultured eukaryote. RNAcentral describes it as "partial 18S ribosomal RNA". It matches the Rfam family "Eukaryotic small subunit ribosomal RNA", at positions 1470 to 1796 of the family's 1831-position model. The record is from RNAcentral.